RNAcentral lists this ribosomal RNA (746 nucleotides) under uncultured bacterium. Its description in RNAcentral is "bacterial SSU rRNA". It matches the Rfam family "Bacterial small subunit ribosomal RNA", at positions 1 to 749 of the family's 1533-position model. The record is from RNAcentral.
UAGAGUUUGAUCAUGGCUCAGAUUGAACGCUGGCGGCAGGCCUAACACAUGCAAGUCGAGCGGUAGAGAGAAGCUUGCUUCUCUUGAGAGCGGCGGACGGGUGAGUAAUGCCUAGGAAUCUGCCUGGUAGUGGGGGAUAACGUUCGGAAACGGACGCUAAUACCGCAUACGUCCUACGGGAGAAAGCAGGGGACCUUCGGGCCUUGCGCUAUCAGAUGAGCCUAGGUCGGAUUAGCUAGUUGGUGGGGUAAUGGCUCACCAAGGCGACGAUCCGUAACUGGUCUGAGAGGAUGAUCAGUCACACUGGAACUGAGACACGGUCCAGACUCCUACGGGAGGCAGCAGUGGGGAAUAUUGGACAAUGGGCGAAAGCCUGAUCCAGCCAUGCCGCGUGUGUGAAGAAGGUCUUCGGAUUGUAAAGCACUUUAAGUUGGGAGGAAGGGUUGUAGAUUAAUACUCUGCAAUUUUGACGUUACCGACAGAAUAAGCACCGGCUAACUCUGUGCCAGCAGCCGCGGUAAUACAGAGGGUGCAAGCGUUAAUCGGAAUUACUGGGCGUAAAGCGCGCGUAGGUGGUUUGUUAAGUUGGAUGUGAAAUCCCCGGGCUCAACCUGGGAACUGCAUUCAAAACUGACUGACUAGAGUAUGGUAGAGGGUGGUGGAAUUUCCUGUGUAGCGGUGAAAUGCGUAGAUAUAGGAAGGAACACCAGUGGCGAAGGCGACCACCCGGACUAAUACUACACUAG